AGUGAACGCUGGCGGCGUGCUUAACACAUGCAAGUCGAACGAGAACGGAUUAUAGCUUGCUAUAAUUGUCAGCUAAGUGGCGCACGGGUGAGUAAUGUAUAGAUAACCUGCCCUCUAGAAAGGAAUAACAGUUGGAAACGACUGCUAAUGCCCUAUAUGCCUUUAAUACAUAAGUAUGCAAGGGAAACGCUUUGGUGCUAGAGGAUGGGUCUGUAUGGUAUCAGUUAGUUGGUGAGGUAAUGGCUCACCAAGACUAUGACGCCUAACUGGUUUGAGAGGAUGAUCAGUCACACUGGAACUGAGACACGGUCCAGACUCCUACGGGAGGCAGCAGUGGGGAAUAUUGCACAAUGGACGAAAGUCUGAUGCAGCAACGCCGCGUGGAGGAUGACACAUUUCGGCGCGUAAACUCCUUUUAUAUAGGAAGAUAAUGACGGUACUAUAUGAAUAAGCACCGGCUAACUCCGUGCCAGCAGCCGCGGUAA
Molecule: ribosomal RNA, 485 nt
Filed under: uncultured bacterium
Lineage: Bacteria
Description: partial 16S ribosomal RNA
Rfam family: Bacterial small subunit ribosomal RNA
Source: RNAcentral